This 482-nucleotide ribosomal RNA is filed under the name uncultured bacterium. RNAcentral describes it as "partial 16S ribosomal RNA". It matches the Rfam family "Bacterial small subunit ribosomal RNA", at positions 30 to 507 of the family's 1533-position model. The record is from RNAcentral.
AUUGAACGCUGGCGGCAUGCCUUACACAUGCAAGUCGAACGGUAACAGGUCUUCGGAUGCUGACGAGUGGCGAACGGGUGAGUAAUACAUCGGAACGUGCCCGAUCGUGGGGGAUAACGGAGCGAAAGCUUUGCUAAUACCGCAUACGAUCUACGGAUGAAAGCAGGGGACCGCAAGGCCUUGCGCGGACGGAGCGGCCAAUGGCAGAUUAGGUAGUUGGUGGGAUAAAAGCUUACCAAGCCGACGAUCUGUAGCUGGUCUGAGAGGACGACCAGCCACACUGGGACUGAGACACGGCCCAGACUCCUACGGGAGGCAGCAGUGGGGAAUUUUGGACAAUGGGCGAAAGCCUGAUCCAGCCAUGCCGCGUGCAGGAUGAAGGCCUUCGGGUUGUAAACUGCUUUUGUACGGAACGAAAAGACUCUUUCUAAUAAAGAGGGUCCAUGACGGUACCGUAAGAAUAAGCACCGGCUAACUACGUG